RNAcentral lists this ribosomal RNA (448 nucleotides) under uncultured bacterium. RNAcentral describes it as "bacterial SSU rRNA". It matches the Rfam family "Bacterial small subunit ribosomal RNA", at positions 335 to 800 of the family's 1533-position model. The record is from RNAcentral.
ACUCCUACGGGAGGCAGCAGUAACGAAUCUUCCGCAAUGGGCGAAAGCCUGACGGAGCAAUGCCGCGUGUGGGAUGAAGCAUCUUCGAUGUGUAAACCACUGUCAGGGUCUAGGAAUACUGACCAGACCCAGAGGAAGGGCCGGCUAAUUCCGUGCCAGCAGCCGCGGUAAUACGGAAGGCCCGAGCGUUAAUCGGAAUCACUGGGCUUAAAGCGUACGCAGGCGGACUUGUAGGUAUCUUGUGAAAUCCCACGGCUUAACCGUGGAACUGCAGGGUAAACCACAAGUCUUGAGACAUGUAGGGGUCAGUGGAACCAUGAGUGGAGCGGUGAAAUGCGUAGAUAUUCAUGGGAACGCCAAUGGCGAAGGCAGCUGACUGGGCAUGUUCUGACGCUCAGGUACGAAAGCGUGGGUAGCGAACGGGAUUAGAUACCCUGGUAGGUCAGUC